This 135-nucleotide non-coding RNA is filed under the name Corethron pennatum. Lineage: Eukaryota; Bacillariophyta; Corethrophyceae; Corethrales; Corethraceae. The record is from RNAcentral.
UAGUUUCUUCGGUGCCAGUUUCCAGUGUAUCGCCGUUUGGAAUCCCUGCAUUUCCAGCAAACUCUUCUGCUGAAUACUCAGCUUCAAUGUCUUCCUUACCGUCGAACAAUAUGGUUUCCGCGGUGCCAAUAUCUG